GAUGAAGAACGUAGCGAAAUGCGAUAAGUAAUGUGAAUUGCAGAAUUCAGUGAAUCAUCGAAUCCUUGAACGCACAUUGCGCCCCCUGGUAUUCCGGGGGGCAUGCCUGUUCGAGCGUCAUUUCACCACUCAAGCCUCGCUUGGUAUUGGGCAUCGCGGUCCGCCGCGCGCCUCAAAUCGACCGGCUGGGUCUUCUGUCCCCUAAGCGUUGUGGAAACUAUUCGCUAAAGGGUGUUCGGGAGGCUACGCCGUAAAACAACCCCAUUUCUAAGGUUGACCUCGGAUCAGGUAGGGAUACCCGCUGAACUUAAGCAUAUCAAUAAGCGGAGGA
Molecule: unclassified non-coding RNA, 331 nt
Filed under: soil metagenome
Description: partial contains 5.8S ribosomal RNA, internal transcribed spacer 2, and large subunit ribosomal RNA
Rfam family: 5.8S ribosomal RNA (bases 1-120)
Source: RNAcentral